CCAAAGGUCUUUAUCAAGACCACUGUUAACGAUUAUCAUGAAGAUAU
Molecule: non-coding RNA, 47 nt
Organism: Anolis carolinensis (green anole)
Lineage: Eukaryota; Metazoa; Chordata; Lepidosauria; Squamata; Anolidae
Source: Rfam